Molecule: ribosomal RNA, 501 nt
Filed under: uncultured bacterium
Lineage: Bacteria
Description: bacterial SSU rRNA
Rfam family: Bacterial small subunit ribosomal RNA
Source: RNAcentral
GACGAACGCUGGCGGCGUGGAUUAGGCAUGCAAGUCGAACGGUAUCAUCCUUUCGGGGGUGAGAGAGUGGCGAACUGGUGAGUAACACGUAGGUUAUCUACCCUCAAGACGGGGACAACCCAGGGAAACUUGGGCUAAUACCGGAUGUGAGCAACUUUUAGUUGUUUGAAAGGUGGCGUAAGCUGUCGCUUGGGGAUGAGCCUGCGUCCUAUUAGUUAGUUGGUGAGGUAACGGCUCACCUAGGCAAUGAUAGGUAGGCGGCCUUAACGGGUGGUCGCCCACACUGGGAUUGAGAUACGGCCCAGACUCCUACGGGAGCAGCAGUCGAGAAUAGUCUACAAUGGUCGGAAGACUGAUAGUGCGACGCCGCGUGAACGAUGAAUCCCUUCGGGGUGUAAAGUUCUUUUAUAUGUGAGCAGUGCUUCUUAUAUUAACAGUAUGGGGAGAGAGAUAUUAGCAUAUGAAUAAGCAACGGCUAAACUCCGUGCCAGCAGCCGCGGU